Molecule: unclassified non-coding RNA, 377 nt
Filed under: uncultured Actinomycetes bacterium
Lineage: Bacteria; Bacillati; Actinomycetota; Actinomycetes
Description: uncultured actinobacterium contains 16S-23S intergenic spacer region
Source: RNAcentral
UCACAGUUUGCACUGGCAGUCUUGUUAGAGUUCCCGACACUACUCGCUGGCAACUAACAACAGGGGUUGCGCUCGUUAUAGGACUUAACCUGACACCUCACGGCACGAGCUGACGACAACCAUGCACCACCUGUAUACGGCCCCGAAGGACACCAUAUCUCUAUGGCUUUUCCGUAUAUUUCAAGCCUUGGUAAGGUUCUUCGCGUUGCUUCGAAUUAAUCCACAUGCUCCGCCGCUUGUGCGGGCCCCCGUCAAUUCCUUUGAGUUUUAGCCUUGCGGCCGUACUCCCCAGGCGGGGCGCUUAAUGCGUUAGCUACGGCACGGAUCCCGUGGAAGGAAACCCACACCUAGCGCCCACCGUUUACGGCGUGGACUAC